CAGUCGAACGAUGACGGAGGAGCUUGCUCCUCCUGAUUAGUGGCGAACGGGUGAGUAAUACGUGAGCAAUGUGCCCUUGACUCUGGGAUAAGCGCUGGAAACGGCGUCUAAUACCGGAUACGACGAUCGGAGGCAUCUCCUGGUCGUGGAAAGAACUUCGGUCAAGGAUCAGCUCACGGCCUAUCAGUUAGUUGGUGAGGUAAUGGCUCACCAAGACGACGACGGGUAGCCGGCCUGAGAGGGUGACCGGCCACACUGGGACUGAGACACGGCCCAGACUCCUACGGGAGGCAGCAGUGGGGAAUAUUGCACAAUGGGCGCAAGCCUGAUGCAGCAACGCCGCGUGAGGGACGAAGGCCUUCGGGUUGUAAACCUCUUUUAGCAGGGAAGAAGCGAAAGUGACGGUACCUGCAGAAAAAGCACCGGCUAACUACGUGCCAGCAGCCGCGGUAAUACGUAGGGUGCAAGCGUUGUCCGGAAUUAUUGGGCGUAAAGAGYUCGUAGGCGGUUUGUCACGUCUGCUGUGAAAACCCGAGGCUCAACCUCGGGCUUGCAGUGGGUACGGGCAGACUAGAGUGCGGUAGGGGAGAUUGGAAUUCCUGGUGUAGCGGUGGAAUGCGCAGAUAUCAGGAGGAACACCGAUGGCGAAGGCAGAUCUCUGGGCCGUAACUGACGCUGAGGAGCGAAAGCAUGGGGAGCAAACAGGCUUAGAUACCCUGGUAGUCCAUGCCGUAAACGUUGGGAACUAGAUGUGGGGACCAUUCCACGGUCUCCGUGUCGUAGCUAACGCAUUAAGUUCCCCGCCUGGGGAGUACGGCCGCAAGGCUAAAACUCAAAGGAAUUGACGGGGGCCCGCACAAGCGGCGGAGCAUGCGGAUUAAUUCGAUGCAACGCGAAGAACCUUACCAAGGCUUGACAUAUACGAGAACGCGCUGGAGACAGCGAACUCUUUGGACACUCGUAUACAGGUGGUGCAUGGUUGUCGUCAGCUCGUGUCGUGAGAUGUUGGGUUAAGUCCCCAACGAGCGCAACCCUCGUCCUAUGUUGCCAGCACGUAAUGGUGGGAACUCAUGGGAUACUGCCGGGGUCAACUCGGAGGAAGGUGGGGAUGAGGUCAAAUCAUCAUGCCCCUUAUGUCUUGGGCUUCACGCAUGCUACAAUGGCCGGUACAAUGGGCUGCAAUACCGUAAGGUGGAGCGAAUCCCAAAAAGCCGGUCUCAGUUCGGAUUGAGGUCUGCAACUCGACCUCAUGAAGUCGGAGUCGCUAGUAAUCGAGUCAGCANC
This 1284-nucleotide ribosomal RNA is filed under the name Agrococcus jenensis. RNAcentral describes it as "bacterial SSU rRNA". It matches the Rfam family "Bacterial small subunit ribosomal RNA", at positions 59 to 1356 of the family's 1533-position model. Lineage: Bacteria; Bacillati; Actinomycetota; Actinomycetes; Micrococcales; Microbacteriaceae. The record is from RNAcentral.